Molecule: ribosomal RNA, 512 nt
Filed under: uncultured bacterium
Lineage: Bacteria
Description: bacterial SSU rRNA
Rfam family: Bacterial small subunit ribosomal RNA
Source: RNAcentral
GACGAACGCUGGCGGCGUGCUUAACACAUGCAAGUGGAGCGACGAACCAGGCUUCGGCCUGGGGCAGAGCCGCGAACGGGUGAGUAACACGUGGGUAACCUGCCUCGAUGAUCGGGACAACCCGGGGAAACCCGGGCUAAUACCGAAUGUGCUGUCCUCGCUCAAGCGAGGAUUGGAAAGGAAGCUUCGGCCUCCGCAUCGAGAUGGGCCCGCGGCCCAUUAGCUUGUUGGUGAGGUAACGGCUCACCAAGGCUGCGAUGGGUAGCUGGUCUGAGAGGACGAUCAGCCACACUGGGACUGAGACACGGCCCAGACUCCUACGGGAGGCAGCAGUGGGGAAUCUUGCGCAAUGCGCGAAAGCGUGACGCAGCAACGCCGCGUGGGGGAAGACGGCCUUCGGGUUGUAAACCCCUUUCAGGAGGGACGAAGCCCGGGCGGUUAAUAGCUGACCCGGGUGACGGUACCUCCAGAAGAAGCCCCGGCUAACUACGUGCCAGCAGCCGCGGUAAAAC